AACGCACAUUGCGCCCCUCGGUACUCCGGGGGGCAUGCCUGUCCGAGCGUCAUUGAAAACCAUCAAGCCUGGCUUGGUCUUGGGCGCGGUCCGGGGACCCGCUCGCAACCCGUCGGCGGUGCCGGCCCGGCCCUGAGCGUAGCAAAACCACUCGCUCGGGGGUCGCGGCGGCGCCCGCUAGGAGCACACACCUCAAGUUUGACCUCGGAUCAGGUAGGGAUACCCGCUGAACUUAA
RNAcentral lists this unclassified non-coding RNA (236 nucleotides) under uncultured fungus. Its description in RNAcentral is "sequence contains ITS2". The stretch from base 1 to 52 matches the Rfam family "5.8S ribosomal RNA", at positions 103 to 154 of the family's 154-position model. The record is from RNAcentral. Lineage: Eukaryota; Fungi.